GAUAAACGCUGGCGGUCGCGACGAUAAGACAUGCAAGUCGAACGGAAGUCGUUAUAAAAGGGAUUGAAGAUUUAUCUGAUUGAGAUUUUAUAACAAUGGCUUUAGUGGCGGACUGGUGAGUAACGCGUGAGUAACCUGCCUACUAGAGGGGAAUAACAGUGAGAAAUCAUUGCUAAUACCGCAUAUGCCAUGAACAUCACAUGAUGAAAAAUGGGAAAAGAGUAAUCUGCUAGUAGAUGGGCUCGCGUCUGAUUAGAUAGUUGGUGGGGUAACGGCCUACCAAGUCGACGAUCAGUAGCCGGACUGAGAGGUUGAACGGCCACAUUGGGACUGAGACACGGCCCAG
RNAcentral lists this ribosomal RNA (346 nucleotides) under uncultured bacterium. RNAcentral describes it as "bacterial SSU rRNA". It matches the Rfam family "Bacterial small subunit ribosomal RNA", at positions 28 to 334 of the family's 1533-position model. The record is from RNAcentral.